Molecule: unclassified non-coding RNA, 336 nt
Filed under: soil metagenome
Description: partial contains 5.8S ribosomal RNA, internal transcribed spacer 2, and large subunit ribosomal RNA
Rfam family: 5.8S ribosomal RNA (bases 1-120)
Source: RNAcentral
GAUGAAGAACGCAGCGAAAUGCGAUAAGUAAUGUGAAUUGCAGAAUUCAGUGAAUCAUCGAAUCUUUGAACGCACAUUGCGCCCGCCAGUAUUCUGGCGGGCAUGCCUGUUCGAGCGUCAUUUCAACCAUCAAGCCCCAGGCUUGUGUUGGGGACCUGCGGCUGCCGCAGGCCCUGAAAACCAGUGGCGGGCUCGCUGUCACACCGGGCGUAGUAGAUUUUAUCUCGCUCAGGGCGUGCUGCGGGUUCCGGCCGUUAAAAAGCCUUUUUUACCCAAGGUUGACCUCGGAUCAGGUAGGAAGACCCGCUGGACUUAAGCAUAUCAAUAAGCGGAGGA